RNAcentral lists this small RNA (28 nucleotides) under Bombyx mori (domestic silkworm). RNAcentral describes it as "ovarian small RNA-33468". Lineage: Eukaryota; Metazoa; Arthropoda; Insecta; Lepidoptera; Bombycidae. The record is from RNAcentral.
UGCACUAACACUGCCCCGUAGCCGAUGC